UAUGUGAUCGUCUCUCGCAUAUCAAUAAGCGGAGGAAAAGAAACUAACAAGGAUUCCCCUAGUAACGGCGAGUGAAGCGGGAAGAGCUCAAAUUUGAAAUCUUAAAGGGUUUCCCUUUACGAAUUGUAGUUUAAAGAAGUGUUUUCUGUUGAGGUUUUGGUAAAAGUUCUUUGGAAUAGGACAGUCAUAGAGGGUGAGAAUCCCGUAUUUGACCUUUACUUUCAACUUUGUGAUACACUUUCAAAGAGUCGGAUUGUUUGGGAAUGCAGUCCAAAAUGGGUGGUAAAUUUCAUCUAAAGCUAAAUAUUGGCGAGAGACCGAUAGCGAACAAGUACCGUGAGGGAAAGAUGAAAAGAACUUUGAAAAGAGAGUUAAACAGUACGUGAAAUUGUCAAAAGGGAAGCGUUUGACACCAGUGUUGUUUUUCUGAAAAUCAAUUAAAGAACUGUUUAUGCUAAGUUGUUUAGACUUUAUCAGCUAAUCUGCUUAGUUUUGAGCUUUUCUUUAAUGCACUUUUCAGUUAACAAGUCAACAUCAAUUUCUUUUGCUGUAAAAAAGCUUGAGGAAGGUGGCUUGAGAUUCGUCUUAAGUGUUUAUAGCCUCUUGCCUAUGCAGUCGGAGAGAUUGAGGUCUGCAGCGUAGAUCCUUCGGGGCUAAAUGCAUUUGUGCUAAGUUAUAGCAUUUUAUAGACAACUUGUUGACUAUGAUUUGUCUUGUAGCUUACUCGCUUAUGUUAUUUUACCUACGCUUAGGAUGUUGACACACGCGCGUGCUCG
This 776-nucleotide ribosomal RNA is filed under the name uncultured Neocallimastigales. RNAcentral's name for it is "partial large subunit ribosomal RNA". It matches the Rfam family "Eukaryotic large subunit ribosomal RNA", at positions 24 to 656 of the family's 3401-position model. The record is from RNAcentral. Lineage: Eukaryota; Fungi; Neocallimastigomycota; Neocallimastigomycetes; Neocallimastigales.